GGAGAAGUCGCGUAGUCCGGCCGAGCGCGCAUGAUUGGAAAUCAUGUAUACCUUUCUGGUAUCGAGGGUUCGAAUCCCUCCUUCUCCGCCA
RNAcentral lists this transfer RNA (91 nucleotides) under Eubacteriales Family XIII. Incertae Sedis bacterium. Its description in RNAcentral is "tRNA-Ser". It matches the Rfam family "tRNA". Rfam says of the family: Transfer RNA (tRNA) molecules are approximately 80 nucleotides in length. Their secondary structure includes four short double-helical elements and three loops (D, anti-codon, and T loops). The record is from RNAcentral. Lineage: Bacteria; Bacillati; Bacillota; Clostridia; Peptostreptococcales; Anaerovoracaceae.